Molecule: transfer RNA, 89 nt
Filed under: Azospirillum cavernae
Lineage: Bacteria; Pseudomonadati; Pseudomonadota; Alphaproteobacteria; Rhodospirillales; Azospirillaceae
Description: Azospirillum sp. K2W22B-5 tRNA-Ala
Rfam family: tRNA
About the family: Transfer RNA (tRNA) molecules are approximately 80 nucleotides in length. Their secondary structure includes four short double-helical elements and three loops (D, anti-codon, and T loops).
Source: RNAcentral
AGGGUGGUGGCGAAACUGGUAGACGCAAUAGCUUUGCAAGCUAUGUCCUUGGCCGGAAAUUGCGGGUUCGAGUCCCGUCCACCCCACCA